RNAcentral lists this non-coding RNA (30 nucleotides) under Mus musculus (house mouse). Lineage: Eukaryota; Metazoa; Chordata; Mammalia; Rodentia; Muridae. The record is from RNAcentral.
UAUCAUGAGUGCGGAAACUUGUAGCGGUGU